CUAACGCAUUAAGUUAUCCGCCUGGGGAGUACGGCCGCAAGGUUAAAACUCAAAGGAAUUGACGGGGGCCUGCACAACGAGCAUGUGGUUUAAUUCGAAGCAACGCGCAGAACCUUACCAGCGUUUGACAUGGUAGGACGACUUCCAGAGAUGGAUUUCUUCCCUUCGGGGACCUACACACAGGUGCUGCAUGGCUGUCGUCAGCUCGUGUCGUGAGAUGUUGGGUUAAGUCCCGCAACGAGCGCAACCCUCGACUUUAGUUACCAUCAUUAAGUUGGGUACUUUAAAGUAACCGCCGGUGAUAAGCCGGAGGAAGGUGGGGAUGACGUCAAGUCCUCAUGGCCCUUACGCGCUGGGCUACACACGUGCUACAAUGGCAAGUACAGUGGGCAGCAAUCCCGCGAGGGUGAGCUAAUCUCCAAAACUUGUCUCAGUUCGGAUUGUUCUCUGCAACUCGAGAGCAUGAAGGCGGAAUCGCUAGUAAUGGCAGAU
This 492-nucleotide ribosomal RNA is filed under the name Sphingomonas sp. RNAcentral's name for it is "bacterial SSU rRNA". It matches the Rfam family "Bacterial small subunit ribosomal RNA", at positions 852 to 1349 of the family's 1533-position model. Lineage: Bacteria; Pseudomonadati; Pseudomonadota; Alphaproteobacteria; Sphingomonadales; Sphingomonadaceae. The record is from RNAcentral.